UUAUGGCUCAGGAUGGACGCUGGCGGCGUGCUUAAUACAUGCAAGUCGAACGGAAGUGUAGCAAUACGAUUUAGUGGCGAACGGGCGAGUAACGCGUUGAUGACCUGCCCCGAAGUGUGGGAUACCAGUUCGAAAGGAUUGCUAAUACCGCAUGUGAUCAUUGGGAUUAGAUGCCCUUUGAUUAAAGGAGAAAUUCGCUUUGGGAGGGAUCUGCGUACCAUCAGCUAGUUGGUAGGGUAACGGCCUACCAAGGCGAUGACGGUUAGGGGACCUGAGAGGGUGGACCCCCGCACUGGCACUGAAACACGGGCCAGACACCUACGGGUGGCAGCAGUAGGGAAUAUUGGUUAAUGGGCGAAAGCCCGAAACCCAGCAACGCCGCGUGCACGAUGAAGGCCUUCGGGUCGUAAAGUGCUUUUUGGAGGGAUGAGGAAGGACAGUACCUUCAGAAUAAGCCUCGGCUAACUACGUGCCAGCCGCCGC
RNAcentral lists this ribosomal RNA (483 nucleotides) under uncultured bacterium. Its description in RNAcentral is "bacterial SSU rRNA". It matches the Rfam family "Bacterial small subunit ribosomal RNA", at positions 17 to 518 of the family's 1533-position model. The record is from RNAcentral.